RNAcentral lists this unclassified non-coding RNA (145 nucleotides) under soil metagenome. Its description in RNAcentral is "partial internal transcribed spacer 1". The record is from RNAcentral.
UAAUAAGUGUUUUAUGGCACUUUUUAAAUCCAUAUCCACCUUGUGUGCAAUGUCAGUCGAUCUUCUUCAUGGAAGAUCGACCAAACAUCAACCUUUAUUUUUAACUCUUUGUCUGAAAAAUAUUAUGAAUAAACAAUUCAAAAUA